UACCAGCACCCCGAGUGGUCGGGACGUUUAUUGGGCCUAAAGCAUCCGUAGCCGGUUCUACAAGUCUUCCGUUAAAUCCAACUGCUUAACAGGUGGGCUGCGGAAGAUACUAUGGAGCUAGGAGGCGGGAGAGGCAAGCGGUACUCGAUGGGUAGGGGUAAAAUCCGUUGAUCCAUUGAAGACCACCAGUGGCAAAGGCGGCUUGCCAGAACGCGCUCGACGGUGAGGGAUGAAAGCUGGGGGAGCAAACCGG
This 253-nucleotide ribosomal RNA is filed under the name uncultured bacterium. Its description in RNAcentral is "partial 16S ribosomal RNA". It matches the Rfam family "Archaeal small subunit ribosomal RNA", at positions 474 to 727 of the family's 1478-position model. The record is from RNAcentral.